AGAUUUAAAAACUAGAGGCUCUAAAGAGCCUGUGUCGCUCACCUUGGUCUAUGUGAAUAUUAAACAAAGGAAGCAGAUGGAUUCAUGACAAAAUUGUAUUUUGGUGAUGGUGAUGUGUUUGUACGUCUUACUUUACUGAACAUUCUUGCUGCUUACAGUUAUCUCUAUCUAUAAUGAACUUUGCCCAGUAGUUUCAGUGGAAAAUGUUAGUAAAAAUUUACAAAUUUUAUAAAAAUUGUUAAAAAUUGACUAUAAAGGACAAUAACUCCUUAGGGGGUCAAUUGACCAUUUCAGUCAUGUUGACUUAUUUGUAAAUCUUACUUUGCUGUACAUUAUUGCUGUUUAAAGUUUAUCUCUAUCUAUAAUAAUAUUCAAGAUAAUAACCAAAACAGUAAAAUUUCCUUAAAAUUACCAAUUUAGGGGCAGCAACCCAACAACGGGUUGUCCGAUUCAUCUGAGAAUUUCAGGGCAGAUAGAUCUUGACCUGAUAAACAAUUUUUUCCAAUGUCAGAUU
Molecule: long non-coding RNA, 514 nt
Filed under: Mytilus galloprovincialis (Mediterranean mussel)
Lineage: Eukaryota; Metazoa; Mollusca; Bivalvia; Mytilida; Mytilidae
Source: RNAcentral